CUGCCCGUCACGCCAUGGGAGUUGAUUUUACCUGAAGCAGGUGAGCUAACCGCAAGGAAGCANCCUACCACGGUAAUGUCGAUGACUGGGGUG
RNAcentral lists this ribosomal RNA (93 nucleotides) under uncultured bacterium. RNAcentral describes it as "partial 16S ribosomal RNA". It matches the Rfam family "Bacterial small subunit ribosomal RNA", at positions 1390 to 1482 of the family's 1533-position model. The record is from RNAcentral.